Molecule: ribosomal RNA, 497 nt
Filed under: uncultured bacterium
Lineage: Bacteria
Description: partial 16S ribosomal RNA
Rfam family: Bacterial small subunit ribosomal RNA
Source: RNAcentral
AAUGAACGCUGGCGGCGUGCCUAAUACAUGCAAGUCGAACGGAAACACGAGGCACUUUCUCCUCUGACGUUCGCGUCGCACGGGUGAGUAACAUGUGGAUAACCUACCUAUAAGACUGGGAUAACUUCGUGAAACCGGUGCUUAUACCCGCUAAUCUAUUCAACCGCAUGGUUCAAUAGUUAAGGACGGUUUUGCUUUCACUUAUCGCUGGUUCCGCUCGGCAUUAGCUAGUUGGACAGGUAACGGCUUACCAAGGCGACGAUGCGUAGCCGAGCUGAGAGGGUGAUCGGCCACACUGGAACUGAGACACGGUCCAGACUCCUACGGGAGGCAGCAGUAGGGAAUAUUGCGCAAUGGGCGAAAGCCUGAUGGAGCAACGCCGCGUGUGUGAUGAAGGCCUUCGGAUCGUAAAGCACUGUUAGCGGGGAAGAACAGAGGUGUAAGUAAACAUGCACGUAUUGACGGUACCUGAUCAGGAAGCCACGGCUAACUACGUG